RNAcentral lists this ribosomal RNA (1322 nucleotides) under metagenome. Its description in RNAcentral is "bacterial LSU rRNA". It matches the Rfam family "Bacterial large subunit ribosomal RNA", at positions 1561 to 2925 of the family's 2925-position model. The record is from RNAcentral.
AGUGGAUGGGGAGCAACCUAGUUGUGCGUGUGUAAAGGUAGUGCCAAGAAAAGCGGUGAUCAUGAUGAAAAUCAAUUCCCGGUACCCGAAACCGACACAGGUGGGCAAGUAGAGAAUACUAAGGGGCGCGAGGUAACUCUCUCCAAGGAACUCGGCAAAAUGACCCCGUAACUUAGGGAGAAGGGGUGCCACCGAGAGGUGGUCGCAGUGAAGAGGCCCAGGCGACUGUUUAGCAAAAACAUAGGUCUCUGCAAACUCGAAAGAGGAGGUAUAGGGGCUGACGCCUGCCCAGUGCAAGGUUAAAGAAGUUGGUCAGUCUUAGGAUGAAGCUAGCGACUGAAGCCCCGGUGAACGGCGGCCGUAACUAUAACGGUCCUAAGGUAGCGAAAUUCCUUGUCGGGUAAGUUCCGACCCGCACGAAAGGCGUAACGAUCUGGGCGCUGUCUCGGAGAGAGGCUCGGCGAAAUAGGAUUGUCUGUGAAGAUACGGACUACCUGCAUUUGGACAGAAAGACCCUAUGAAGCUUUACUAUAGCUUGGAAUUGUGUUCGGGCUUCCUGUGCGCAGGAUAGGUGGGAGGCGUAGAAGGUAUUCUUGUGGGGAUACUGGAGCCAACGGUGAGAUACCACUCUCAGGAGGCUAGAAUUCUAACUUAAUUAAGGACAGUUUCAGGUGGGUAGUUUGACUGGGGCGGUCGCCUCCAAAAAGGUAACGGAGGCGUACAAAGGUUCCCUCAGACUGGUUGGAAAUCAGUCGAAGAGUGCAAAGGCAGAAGGGAGCUUGACUGCGAGAAGUACAGUUCGAGCAGGGUGGAAACACGGUCUUAGUGAUCCGACGGUGCUGUGUGGAAGGGCCGUCGCUCAACGGAUAAAAGUUACUCUAGGAUAACAGGCUGAUCUCCCCCAAGAGUUCACAUCGACGGGGAGGUUUGGCACCUCGAUGUCGGCUCAUCGCAACCUGGGGCGGAAGUACGUCCCAAGGGUUGGGCUGUUCGCCCAUUAAAGCGGUACGUGAGCUGGGUUCAGAACGUCGUGAGACAGUUCGGUCCAUAUCCGAUGUAGGCGUGAGAAUAUUGAGAGGAGCCUUCCUUAGUACGAGAGGACCGGGAAGGACGCACCGCUGGUGUACCUGUUAUGAUGCCAAUUGUAAACGCAGGGUAGCCAAGUGCGGAGAGGAUAACCGCUGAAAGCAUCUAAGUGGGAAGCCCACCUCAAGAUGAGUAUUCUGGUGUAAGGUCACGGGAAGACGACCCGUAAAUAGGCACGAGGUGGAAGUGCAGAGAUGUAUGAAGCCGAAGUGUACUAAUAGACCGUCGGCUUGACC